UGGGGCAGCAGGUCUGUAGCAAUACAGAUGCUGGCGACCGGCAAACGGGUGCGGAACACGUACACAACCUUCCUUUAAGUGGGGGAUAGCCCGGGGAAACCCGGAUUAAUACCCCGUAAUAUAUUGAAAAGGCAUCUUUUUAAUAUUAUAGCUCCGGCGCUUAAUGAUGGGUGUGCGCCUGAUUAGGUAGUUGGCGGGGUAACGGCCCACCAAGCCUUCGAUCAGUAACUGGUGUGAGAGCACGACCAGUCACACGGGCACUGAGACACGGGCCCGACUCCUACGGGAGGCAGCAGUAAGGAAUAUUGGUCAAUGGACGCAAGUCUGAACCAGCCAUGCCGCGUGGAGGAUGAAGGUCCUCUGGAUUGUAAACUUCUUUUAUCUGGGACGAAAAAGGGUCUUUCUAGACCACCUGACGGUACCAGAUGAAUAAGCACCGGCUAACUCCGUGCCAGCAGCCGCGGUAAUACGGAGGGUGC
This 479-nucleotide ribosomal RNA is filed under the name uncultured bacterium. RNAcentral describes it as "bacterial SSU rRNA". It matches the Rfam family "Bacterial small subunit ribosomal RNA", at positions 65 to 535 of the family's 1533-position model. The record is from RNAcentral.